GCAACCAUAGCUCAGCUGGAAGAGCAUCUGCUUUGCAUGCAGAUGGUCUUAAGUUCAAUCCCCAGCAGCUCCA
Podarcis lilfordi (Lilford's wall lizard) is the source of this 73-nucleotide non-coding RNA. Lineage: Eukaryota; Metazoa; Chordata; Lepidosauria; Squamata; Lacertidae. The record is from the annotation of a GenBank genome assembly.